This 63-nucleotide transfer RNA is filed under the name Lophogaster typicus. RNAcentral describes it as "tRNA-Lys". Lineage: Eukaryota; Metazoa; Arthropoda; Malacostraca; Lophogastrida; Lophogastridae. The record is from RNAcentral.
AACUAUGGCCGAUUUAAGCGUUAAUUUUUUAAAUUAAUUAUAGUUUUUAAAACUUAAAUGUUA